GAUGAACGCUGGCGGCGUGCCUAAUACAUGCAAGUCGAGCGAACAGACGAGGAGCUUGCUCCUCUGACGUUAGCGGCUGACGGGUGAGUAACACGUGGAUAACCUACCUAUAAGACUGGGAUAACUUCGGGAAACCGGAGCUAAUACCGGAUAAUAUAUUGAACCGCAUGGUUCAAUAGUUAAAGACGGUUUUGCUGUCACUUAUAGAUGGAUCCGCGCCGCAUUAGCUAGUUGGUAAGGUAACGGCUUACCAAGGCAACGAUGCGUAGCCGACCUGAGAGGGUGAUCAGCCACACUGGAACUGAGACACGGUCCAGACUCCUACGGGAGGCAGCAGUAGGGAAUCUUCCGCAAUGGGCGAAAGCCUGACGGAGCAACGCCGCGUGAGUGAUGAAGGUCUUCGGAUCGUAAAACUCUGUUAUUAGGGAAGAACAAAUGUGUAAGUAACUAUGCACGUCUUGACGGUACCUAAUCAGAAAGCCACGGCUAACUACGUG
RNAcentral lists this ribosomal RNA (497 nucleotides) under uncultured bacterium. RNAcentral describes it as "partial 16S ribosomal RNA". It matches the Rfam family "Bacterial small subunit ribosomal RNA", at positions 28 to 507 of the family's 1533-position model. The record is from RNAcentral.